Molecule: ribosomal RNA, 388 nt
Filed under: Pristimantis zeuctotylus (Sipaliwini robber frog)
Lineage: Eukaryota; Metazoa; Chordata; Amphibia; Anura; Strabomantidae
Description: partial large subunit ribosomal RNA
Rfam family: Bacterial large subunit ribosomal RNA
Source: RNAcentral
CUUGACAACAUAAAAGGUCCAGCCUGCCCAGUGACUCAAUUCAACGGCCGCGGUAUCCUAACCGUGCAAAGGUAGCGUAAUCACUUGUCUUCUAAAUAAAGACUAGUAUGAAUGGCACCACGAGAACUAAACUGUCUCCUUUUUCUAAUCAGUGAACCUAAUCUCCCUGUGAAAAAGCAGGAAUUUAAUAAUAAGACGAGAAGACCCUAUGGAGCUUUAAACACAUAACACUGCCCUUUUACACCACAAUGUUACAUGCACAAUGAUUAAAAGUUUUUAGUUGGGGUGACUACGGAGUAAACCCACCCUCCGCGAUGAAUCUUAAACAAGCAACAGCUUUAUACAUCAGCAAACUGACACCAUUGACCCAAUUUAUUGAUCAACGAAC